GAUGCCACAGACCAAGGUACGAAUAUUUAAGAAGGCGUAGAAAAAACUCGUAUGCUGAGACCAACCAAGCACGGUAAUCAAAGCUGUAACUCCAAUAUUCAGUAUAAAUAGAAACUUCCAUUUGUUAGGAGUCUUAGGAUUAAACAGACCAACCUCUAACGGUAAAAAGUACAUCACAUAUGCACAGUAGAAAAGACUCAACAGCUCCACUAACUUAAAAGCCCAAUAUUCAGGAUACAAAAACAGCGGUACUAUUAAAAGCAAGUAGAGGAACGAAAAGAUAAUAGAAAACAUUCGAUUAUCCCGAUUGUUAGUCAAACGUAGUUGUUCAACGA
This is a non-coding RNA of Schizosaccharomyces pombe (fission yeast), 335 nucleotides long. The record is from the annotation of a GenBank genome assembly. NCBI's taxonomy places the organism in Eukaryota, Fungi, Ascomycota, Schizosaccharomycetes, Schizosaccharomycetales, Schizosaccharomycetaceae.